CCUGAUAAGGGAUAAUGUUUCACUGAACAUUAAAUAAUAUGUAUGUUGUGUGUGUCUAUCUGUCUGUGUGUCUGUCUGUGUGUCUGUGUGUGUGCGUGUGCGUGUGUGUGUGUGUGUGUGUAGCUGUCAGUGCAGGCUCAGCAGGAGCAGGCCCUUGGAGAGGAGAUGCAGAAACUGCAGAAGGAGGUGAGCUGUCUCCAGGGCAGCCUAAGUCAGAGAGAGGAGGACAUGGAGGCACAACUACAGACAACUGGCCAGCUACAGCAGGAGAGGGUCAGUCUGCUCACACAGCGGGACAACCAGCAGGGGGCAGUGUGUGUUCUGCGCGGGGAGCUGCAGCGGUGGCAGGCGGAGGUCCGGUCUCAGCAGGAGAGCAGUGAGGAGGUGUCGGGCCUGAGGGCUGAGCUACAGGAGACCCAGGGCAGGCUGCAGCAGUGUAGAGCAACCAUGAAGCACCUCCGCUCUGACCUGGAGCACGGCCAGAGACAGACCAGGCUGAGGGCUGUGCUACAGGAUGCUGAGAGCAGAGCAGUGGACACAGAGACAAGGCUGCAGACCCUGACCAGGUCCCUGGAGCUGUACAGGGUCAAGUACCAGGCCUGCCUCACCAAGAUCUCCCAGCAGGACAGCACUCUACAGGCCCAGGACGAGGACCUGAAGGAAGCCAGGGCUCAGGUCAGCUCCACGCCAUCUUCACCCUGCAGGAAAACUAAGAGCUGAUACUGGAGCUUUUUCUAGUUUUUCCAGAGCUUCUAUUUGCUAGAGGUUCUGUCUGCUAGAGCUUCUGUCUGCUAGAGGUUCUAUCUGCUAGAGGUUCUAUCUGCUAGAAGAUGUUUCUAAGAUAGUUGGCGUUAAAGUUACUUAAAUAAAUACAUUUAAUAAAUUCAUUAAAAAUCCUACAAUGUGAUUUUCUGGAUUGUUUUCCCUCAUUUUGUCUGUCAUAGUUGAAGUGUACCUAUGAUGAAAAUUACAGGCCUCUCUCAUCUUUUUAAGUGGGAGAACUUGCACAAUUGGUGGCUGACUAAAUACUUUUUUGCCCCACUGUAGGUAGGGAACAUUGAACACCAGCCUCCCGGGUGGCGCAGUGGUUAAGGGCGCUGUACUGCAGCGCCAGCUGUGCCAUCAGAGUCCCUGGGUUCGCGCCCAGGCUCUGUCGUAACCGGCCGCGACCGGGAGGUCCGUGGGGCGACGCACAAUUGGCCUAGUGUCGCCCGGGUUAGGGAGGGCUUGGUCGUUAGGGGUGUCCUUGUCUCAUCGCGCACCAGCGACUCCUGUGGCGGGCUGGGCGCAGUGCGCGCUAGCCAAGGUGGCCAGGUGUUUCCUCCGGCGCAUUGGUGCGGCUGGCUUCCGGGUUGGAUGCGCACUGUGUUAAGUAUCAGUGCGGCUUGGUUGGGUUGUGUAUCGGAGGACGCAUGACUUUCAACCUUCGUCUCUCCCGAGCCCGUACGGGAGUUGUAGCGAUGAGACAAGAUAGUAGCUACUAAACAAUUGGAUACCACGAAAUUGGGGAGAAAAAGGGGUAAAAUUCAAAAAAAAAAAAAGGGAACAUUGAACAGAACAAGGCUGUCAUUAACUCCAUUUAGACUAAAAUGCAGAUAGAACCUUCUAGCUCUCCAAUUGUUGUGUUUUUCAUCUCUGCUGCUUAUACCCUUGCUGCCAGGAGUUGCAUACAUCACUAGGCCUGAUUUAUGAGUGUUAAUAGCAUGCCUUUUUUAUGUAUAUGUGUGUUUGUGUGCCUGCCUGCGUGUCCCUGUGUGUCUGUGUCCCA
This 1768-nucleotide long non-coding RNA is filed under the name Oncorhynchus mykiss (rainbow trout). Its description in RNAcentral is "lncRNA (ENSOMYG00000055415.1)". Lineage: Eukaryota; Metazoa; Chordata; Actinopteri; Salmoniformes; Salmonidae. The record is from RNAcentral.